UACGUAGGGGGCAAGCGUUAUCCGGAUUUACUGGGUGUAAAGGGAGCGUAGACGGUUAUGCAAGUCAGAAGUGAAAGCCCGGGGCUCAACUCCGGGACUGCUUUUGAAACUGUUGAACUAGAUUGCAGGAGAGGUAAGUGGAAUUCCUAGUGUAGCGGUGAAAUGCGUAGAUAUUAGGAGGAACACCAGUGGCGAAGGCGGCUUACUGGACUGUAAAUGACGCUGAGGCUCGAAAGCGUGGGGAGCGAACAGG
This 253-nucleotide ribosomal RNA is filed under the name uncultured bacterium. RNAcentral describes it as "partial 16S ribosomal RNA". It matches the Rfam family "Bacterial small subunit ribosomal RNA", at positions 524 to 776 of the family's 1533-position model. The record is from RNAcentral.